UUUUUUUUUUUUAACAAUCUUAUUAACCCAGGGUGGGUGAACAGCAGUGAACCCCACCACCACCCCGGGCUCACCCACGCGUGUGCAGAGAUCUGAGCUGCUGCGGGGUCCACACCACGGACAGGCGAGCCCACCCACUGCCCCGGCCUCGGCGCCCAGGCCUGGUCAGACUGCAGGGAGGGCGGAUUCCACUCGGGUGGGCAGGGGCGGCUGAAAUCCCGUUUGGAGCUUUGUCAUCCCAGUUUCAGGAAGCCCACAGCUGAGCUGGUGCCAAGCACCGAAAGGCCGGUUGCACUGCACGGUCAGUGCCAGGGCUCGAGAUGCUGGCACAUCGGCCAUCAGGGCCAGGGGUCUAGGCCGUGCACUUGGCUCCAGAACGCACAGCUGGCAGCCCUCCAACCUCGACAGGCCUCCUCUGGAGGCCAAGGGCGCUUUGUCUGCUCCCCCAAAGGUGAAGGAUUCUCAGCCCAGUUCCUGGUUCUGGACUCCCCAGCACACGGCAGGAGGCUGGCACGGCCGCCUCCAGGUCAACCCAGAAGGAACUCGGGAGCAGGGAGCUCACUGAGGACAGGGCCUGCGUGGGGGUCACCUGGGGGGCCCUUCCCCAGGCUGGCACACACCGGCCCUCCAUCAAUAUUUGCUGAUCCAAACUAAAUGGGAAGCCUCCCCUCUGCCAAAGGGAGCUGGGCCUCCCCACCCAGGGCCAGCUGCCUCGGGCCUUUCUGCCUCCCAGACCACACUCUGCUGACCUAGGGAAGCAGGCAUAGCCCGGCCCGGCAUGGGGAGGCGCGGCCUGGGCCUUGAGGUGGGUCAGAGAGUGGACACACAUCGUCCAACUUUCCAGGCCCCCAGCAUUCUCCUAAGGACGGGAGCAAUGCCACAGAGCAUCCAGUUUCCCAGGAGAAGUGGCCAGCGGCCCAUGCAAAUAUUUCUACAGAGGAAAAAGCAACUCCAGCCAGGGAUUCCUACCCCUGGAAGCCAAACCGAGACUCAUUUUAAAGAAAGCCUGAAAAACAAAUUGACCAUCAACGGCUUAAGAGUGAUCACUAGUUGAAAAGCUGUCACACACAAUUAACACAUCAGACCCUGGGGUUGGGGGGGGGCACAAAAGGUGACAGGGCAAUGCUCCCGUGCACUAGGGCUGCGCACGUCUAGACCCUUAUUCGAGCCCCGUAACCAUCAGCAUCACCAGCUUCCCCAGUUUACAGAUGACCACGGAAGGCUCAGAGAGGUGAAGUGAUUCUUCCUAAGUCACACAGCUGGGAACCCUCCAUCUCCCAAGACAAGGGAGAAACAACAGACCCCCAAGCCUGGCACCUGUGCACCCCUUGAUCUGCUGCUGGUGACCUGUUCCACCCCCUCUGCACCGUGUCCUAGGCUCCCGACGUCAAGCUGGCUACUCGCAGGGCCCAGAACACCCCGAGUGCCGUCACUCCCUCCGCCUCCAGUGGCCUCCCAUCCUCCACGGGGAAUGGCUUCGCCUCUUUCAUGUCCCGGCUCAGGCCCCUUCCAGAGCUCUCAGCCUCCCUCGAUGGUCCCUGAAGGCAUCGCACGGCUCCCAGUCCCUUUGCCUGGCAUCCUCCAGGGGCUGAGCCCUCAUCUCUGUAUCCCGCUGCCUAGAACAGCGAACAGCCUGAGCAAGCCCCUCCCGCUCCCUGUGCCCGGGUCUCUGGCUGGGGAGGGACUUGGGCCAAACGACCCCCCCACCCUCCACCAAGAACCCUGGGAACUUGGGGCAGGGGCAGCCACUGAAAGGUUCUGUCCGUGGAGACGCGCAGAGGGGCCCCUGAUUCCUGUCCUCGGCCGUUUGAUGCCACAGCCCACCUGGACAGAAUGAAUGGCAGCUGCCUUUCCAGGUGUCCAGCAUGCCCAGGCACCAGGCUGGGCCCUUCCACGCGUUAUCUCAGUUAACGCCCCACUUCCCAGAGGAGGAAACAGAGGCUUAGCCGUGGGAAGAAGGUUCCCAGCCACCGAGCACCAAGGCAGCAGCUGCUCCUCUGCCCGCCAGCCCCCUUCUCGUCCCUGCGGCCUCAGCAGACAGAAAGGGCGUCAAGUGCCACGUGAGCAAGGACCCACGAGAGCAUCCACAGUGAGCUCAGUCCACGCCUGUAAAUGCCACCACCGGGGUGGAAACAACGCAGACGUGCCCAGGCUCUGAGCUGACGGGGAUGCAGGUCUAAAAGGGACCCCCCAACACACACACCUGAAGGCAUCGUUACAGCCCAGCACAGCAGGAAGCUGCCACCUUGCUUCUUGAGGUCUAAAGAAUCCUUUUGCCAUACGCCCGCCCCAGCCCCUGUCACCCCACCUUCCAGCCAAUGGGCAUCGCAGAGAGGUCCUGGGUGCUGGGUGGCCCCUGUCCUCCCAAGACUGCUUCAGUCGGAGAGGCUUCUUCCUCGUGGGUCUGCCCCUGCCCCAGACUUCCAGGCUCUGUGCAGCCCCCAGAGCGGGGACCCUCUGGGACCCCGCUCAGAGCUGACCUUGGAAAUGGAAAAGGCCGCCCGGGCGUGAUGACGGGGUGUGCAGCUGAAGGGGGACAGUCACCGCUGUGGGCGGUUGCUGCCGACGGGAUCCACCCCCGAGCUGUGUGGUGGCCCCUGGUGAACUUGGAGACCAGCCACUCCCUGGCAUCGGGCAGAAGCUGAGGGCCUGUGGACCCGAUACUGAGCUCCCUGAGCGCCUCCUGUCUGCAGUGAUGAGGCAUCGUGCCCUCGGUGGGGGGGAUGGGGGCAUGGUGGGGAGGGAGGCAGGUGGUGGGGGAGCCAGAAACUUGUGCCCCCCACCCUGGCACCGCACCCCAAAGGCACUCAGACAACCCCUUCCCCCAGGCAGUGCCUGGCAGGGAUCCCUCCUCUGCUCACCCCGCAGUCACUCAGAGCAUCAGUGAUGGGCGAGCGCUGGCCAGCAAGAAGCCGGACAUUGACAUGUGCUUCCAAAGAGUCCAGAACCUUCUCCCUCAAAGGUGACCCCCCUCUUUCCCUGCACCCAGGCAGAGGGGGAACCUGCACCCAAAGGCUGGAAGGCAUAUGCUUCAGACUAAACCGAGCACCAGCAUCUCAGUUCCAGCCUUGGGUCCCUGAAGGUAGUCGCGAAGGGCAUUCUCUAUUCAAACAUGUUAAACGUGCCAAAAUCUAAAGAAACCCAUGAAUUUAUCUACAAUAAGGCCACAUGGGCAACGUGAACACGACUGCUUGGCUUGGGUCCUAAUUUAAGCCCACCUGGGCUGACAAGACCUCUUAUCAAAGGGUACCUGGGACAGGACAGGUGGGCCAGGUCCCAGACCUGUGGGCAGGUGUACAGAAGAUGCAGCGUCACUAAAUUACUUUGAAAAGGCAGUUUCCAUCGUGGCUCAGCGGUAACGAACCCAACUAGUAUCCACGAGGAUGCGGGUUCGAUUCCUGGGCUCACUCGGGGGGUUAAGGAUCCAGUGUUGCCAUGGGCUGUGGUUUAGGUUGCAGAUGCAGCUCAGAUCCCGCGUGGCUGUGGCUGUGGCUGUGACUGUGGUGCAGGCCAGCAGCUGGAGCUCUGAUUUGACCCCUAGCCUGGGGACUUCCAUAAGCCAUAGAUGCAGUCUUAAAAAAUAAAUAAAAAGGAGUUCCCAUCGUGGUGCAGCGGAAACAAACCCAACUAGUAUCCAUGAGGAGGCAGGUUCGAUUCCUGGCCUCGCUCAGUGGGUUAAGGAUCCGGUGUUGCCGCGAGCUGUGGUGAGGUCAGCGGCUGCAGCUCCAAUUCGACCCCCAGCCUGGGAACCUCCAUAUGCUAAAAAGCAAAAAUAAAAAAUACAUAAAGAAAGAAAGAAAGAAUAAAAACAUAAAUUACUUUGAAAAGGAGGGUGAAAUGGUCGUUACUUAAUGGAAACGCAGUCUCUCGCAGCCAUAGGAAGAGAGAAUGAAAAUAAAACAGUCGUGGAAGGAACGGUAGGACUGGCCGGGGAAGGGGAGAAAGAAUUCUGGGGCUGGUAACUCGGGGGGCUCGACCCUCAGCCGUUUCUUCCAGGCGGUGUGGCCAGUGGUUCUCCAGACCCUGAAAACAAGCACGCAGGGACCACCCUACCUCAGACGCCAGGGCCAGCUGGGCUCCCAGAGAAGUUGAAUCCACACUGUGGGCCCCAUCCCAGUUCUAGACCGCCUGGAAAAAUUCAAAGAUUUUCCCAAAGGCUCCGCCUCCCCCCCUGGACAUUAGACACACGCAGCCGCGCAGGGCAAGGUGUCAGUGACCCUGGACCCUUGGGAAAGGGGACAGCCGAGUCUCAGCAGCUCCCGGCCUCACCCUGGGAGCUUCAGCAACCUCUGUUUUCUGGAGAAGGAAAAGCAGCUGAGAUGUUCAGCACAUCUUGGCAGGCCUUGCCCACCUCCCAGCCUUUGUGGAAUGAGGUCAGGAGUAAGGAGAUAAACAAACUGAAAGUCACUGCUAAUGAGCAGAACGCGCAGAAAUUUCCUUUUCCUAUAUACCGCCCCCAGCAAUCAGAACAAAAUGCCACGAUAACUACCUCUUAACCCACUGUGGAGCCACACCGCCAGCCCAAGGCCCUCCUUCCAAUACCCUUCCUUCCUUGGCAGAACAAGCCGGUGACAGAGGGUCAAGGUCAACCCACAGGGGCAGCCUGUACAGUGAGGUCACGCAGGAAGGGAGCCUGCGGGGCCAAGGCCGGGGCUUCAGGAAGGGCGCACCCAAGCUGGCGAGGUCCAUCUGCCCCAGGCCGAUGCCGCUGGCUUCUGUGACCAAACCUCUCCCUCUCCAGGGAAAAAGAUGCAGAGUGAGGUCUGGGGGUGCCAAAUGAGAGGACCAGACCCCCUCUCUCUGACGUUCUGUCUCACUUUCUGCGCGGGUCGAUGUGAAAACCUGUCUCCAUUUUUGGAUGCCACAGGCCAUCGUGAUGCGUCCGCGUGACACUCACGGCUCCUCAUCUUGGAGACCCGACAAUGACAGUUCUUGGACUGGCUGCCUGUUUUUGUAAAAAUAAAGAUUUAUUGACACUGCCACACCCACUCAGUACACACUGUCUGUGAACACUCUUGCCCUGCCGUGGCGGAGCUGAGUAGCUGCAAAUGAGAGGACGGGGGCCCACAGAGCCUCAAAUAGCUACCAACUGGCCUUUUAUCUUAGAGGAAGCCCUGCCUGAUCUAAAAAACUAUGG
RNAcentral lists this long non-coding RNA (5137 nucleotides) under Sus scrofa (pig). Its description in RNAcentral is "lncRNA (ENSSSCG00050026785.1)". Lineage: Eukaryota; Metazoa; Chordata; Mammalia; Artiodactyla; Suidae. The record is from RNAcentral.